CCUACGGGAGGCAGCAGUGAGGAAUAUUGCGCAAUGGAGGAAACUCUGACGCAGCCAUGCCGCGUGCAGGAAGACGGCCCUACGGGUUGUAAACUGCUUUUAUCCGGGAAGAAACCCCAGGACGUGUCCUGGGUUGACGGUACCGGAGGAAUAAGCACCGGCUAACUCCGUGCCAGCAGCCGCGGUAAU
Molecule: ribosomal RNA, 189 nt
Filed under: uncultured bacterium
Lineage: Bacteria
Description: partial 16S ribosomal RNA
Rfam family: Bacterial small subunit ribosomal RNA
Source: RNAcentral